AAGUGGCUGAAUCCAAAGAGCCGGUGUAAGGAGUGAAAACCGGCCGCGCAGGAUAAGUGAGACGCCUCCCAGUGUCCUCCGGGCCUGCCUCAUAUUU
This 97-nucleotide small RNA is filed under the name Mycobacterium fragae. RNAcentral describes it as "Mycobacterium sRNA ncrMT1302". It matches the Rfam family "Mycobacterium sRNA ncrMT1302". Lineage: Bacteria; Bacillati; Actinomycetota; Actinomycetes; Mycobacteriales; Mycobacteriaceae. The record is from Rfam by way of RNAcentral.